RNAcentral lists this long non-coding RNA (816 nucleotides) under Homo sapiens (human). RNAcentral's name for it is "non-protein coding lnc-SGTB-1:2". The record is from RNAcentral. Lineage: Eukaryota; Metazoa; Chordata; Mammalia; Primates; Hominidae.
GGCCUGCGCGGGCCAGUCAGCGCGCGGGGGCGGUGCGGGCCGACGUCGGCGGCUGGGGGCAGCGGGCCGGGGGCCGGGGGAGGGGCAGCCGGCGGCCGUGGGUUCGCGUGCAAGGCGCGCCGUGAGGCCCACUCUGGCCCAGGCCCCUCGAGGCCUGCCCGCUGCUCCCUGCCCGCUCCCCGACCCCGCACUCCCGGACUCCCGAGCCCCCCAGGGUGGGGAACGCUGGCAACGCCGACCCUGCUGUCUGCUCGCGGCCCAGCGCCCAGCCAGAGAGAUAGAGAGCCCACAGGCCUCCGCCGCGCCGGCCGAUGGAGUUUCUUUGUCGCAGGAAACCACAGCGGCAGCGCGGUGCAGCUUCCCACGCCCGCCCUUCGAGCUUGUUCCCCAGCGGCGCAGCUCAGCCUCCUCCAAGUCUCAGCCUCAUACCGGCGGGGAGACAAAGCUGGCGCUGGGAGUGGGAAAAGGGCCCGCGAAAUGGCCUCAAGAUCGUGCCUUUGUUAGAAGAAACAUGGGUACGCUCCGAUGCGACGCAGGCUUCCAACCCCAGCGGUUCGGUGGUGGUGCAGUCGUUGAAUUGCGCUGGCCCUAAUAAUUCAGCCUGGCAGGGUUCGCGUUUAUUGCGGAGAGAGACUCUUAAGCAUUCUGUCAACACAUAUGGCAAAUAGAAAGCCUCAACCAUAACAUUGCACAGUUUUUGCAGUUCUUGCUUUAAAUAUGUUCACAGAAAAGACGGCCUUGUUUUACCCAGAGAAGGAGCGUAAUGCGGAGCGAACCAUUCGUCACCCCCAUUCUCUGCUGCACUUAACUGUGUAC